RNAcentral lists this ribosomal RNA (847 nucleotides) under uncultured Pseudomonadota bacterium. Its description in RNAcentral is "bacterial SSU rRNA". It matches the Rfam family "Bacterial small subunit ribosomal RNA", at positions 57 to 881 of the family's 1533-position model. Lineage: Bacteria; Pseudomonadati; Pseudomonadota. The record is from RNAcentral.
GCAGUCGAACGCGAAAGUCCCCUUCGGGGGGCGAGUAGAGUGGCGCACGGGUGAGUAACACGUAGGUAAUCUACCUUCGGAUGGGGAAUAACAAUCGGAAACGGUUGCUAAUACCGCAUAAUGCAGCGGCACCUAAUGGUGACAGUUGUUAAAGCGGGGGAUCGAAAGACCUCGCGUCUGAAGAGGAGCCUGCGGCGGAUUAGCUAGUUGGUAGGGUAACGGCCUACCAAGGCGACGAUCCGUAGCCGGCCUGAGAGGGCGGUCGGCCACACUGACACUGACAUACGGGUCAGACUCCUACGGGAGGCAGCAGUCGGGAAUUUUGGGCAAUGGGCGAAAGCCUGACCCAGCAACGCCGCGUGAAGGAUGAAAUCCCUCGGGAUGUAAACUUCGCAAGAACGGGAAGAAUAAGUCUGCGUGAAUAUCGCAGAUGAUGACGGUACCGUUUGUAAGCUCCGGCUAACUCCGUGCCAGCAGCCGCGGUAAUACGGGGGGAGCAAGCGUUGUUCGGAUUUACUGGGCGUAAAGGGCGCGUAGGCGGCCACCGCAAGUCGGUUGUGAAAUCUCCGGGCUUAACCCGGAAAGGUCAACCGAUACUGCGGGGCUAGAGUGCAGAAGGGGCAACUGGAAUUCUCGGUGUAGCGGUGAAAUGCGUAGAUAUCGAGAGGAACACCUGCGGCGAAGGCGGGUUGCUGGGCUGACACUGACGCUGAAGUGCGAAAGCUAGGGGAGCGAACGGGAUUAGAUACCCCGGUAGUCCUAGCCUUAAACGAUGAAUGCUUGGUGUCUGGGGUUUUAAAGUCCCCGGGUGCCGUCGCUAACGCUUUAAGCAUUCCGCCUGGGGAGU